Molecule: unclassified non-coding RNA, 212 nt
Filed under: Hevea brasiliensis (rubber tree)
Lineage: Eukaryota; Viridiplantae; Streptophyta; Magnoliopsida; Malpighiales; Euphorbiaceae
Source: RNAcentral
CUCUAGCCACUAGCGCUGACGACUCCCAGGUCGCUGCCGCCCGUGAGGAUGGCUCACUCGAGAUUUGGCUUGUGUCUCCUGGCUCCGUUGGUUGGCACUGUCAGCUGACUAUACAAGGAGACAGUAAUUCGAGAGUUUCAUCACUGGUUUGGUGUCGAGUUGGCUCAAAAGGAAUGCCAUGUGGCAGGUUGUUCUCAUCAAGUAUUGACGGU